AGGGGGCAGGGCUACUAGAGAGGAGGAGGUGGCACCAUGGAGGAGGCCAGGAGUCUUCAACCGCAGGAAAUGGAGGGAGGCGGUACAGUGGGAGGAGAAAAGGUGGCCGGCCCGUCUGUGGUACAGCAUGGGAGAGCCGAGAUGGUUGCUUAGACACUGCUUUGCUCCGCUCUGCCAUAUGAUGUCACGGGUUGGCAGCGCGACGCCCGCAGCAGUAUCCUGAGUGAGCAGAGAGCUUGGCCGGAGGUUACCAUGGAAGCUGGUCGCUGGCAUUGCUUGAUGACGUCACCGGAGGGCGACAUGGGAGCGCUGCUGGGCGUAUGUAUGGUCAGAAUGGCGCCGUGGAGCAGUCUUUUAAAGUGAAUCCACUGACUCUACACUAAACUGUGAAAAGUCAUCAUCCGCUAUCGAGAAGCCCCCUGCAAAUGAAGCAUGAGGAGAAGGCACAAUAAGAACAUGUUGAUCCUGUCCAGAGGUGACGUCGCAGUGUAAAGUGGCGCACAGUUACCCUCCCUUGACUCUACUAUUUGCGAAACUCAUACAGAGAGAAGCACAAUCUGCAUGAAAAUUGUAUUCAACCGCUGGAAACCAUCAACCAAAUUAUUACAUUUGCUACAAUUUGAAAACUGGCUCAAACUAUCAAAAGACAAAUGUAGCAGAAAAUCAAAAGAAUGCAUUUAUAAAUUCUGCCUUUCAAAAAAUGGCAACACAGAACAACAGCUGUCACUUGUAUCUGACUUGUAAUAUUGGGGGGGAAAUAAAAUAUUAUUUCUGUGUGAGCUGCUUAGGAAACAAUAUUUGGAACAAACUCAAUAUUCUUAGCAUUACAGAAGUUCAGCAUGGUGAAGCAGUAUUAUUAACCCAUUAAUACAGUAAACUGUCCAAACUAUUCUUCAUUUUUGCUUCCAAACCACAAUGAUUUUGUGUAUAUAAAACUACCACUAAUAUAACAAAUUAUGGGGCAGCUGUAUUAAACCUGGAGAAGUGAUAAAGCAGUGAUAAAUGCAAGGUGAUAAUGCACCAGCCAA
Long non-coding RNA from Pseudophryne corroboree (corroboree frog), 1028 nucleotides. RefSeq lists it as uncharacterized. The transcript is spliced from 4 exons. NCBI's taxonomy places the organism in Eukaryota, Metazoa, Chordata, Amphibia, Anura, Myobatrachidae. The record is from RefSeq and is a predicted model, not a curated record.